This 1226-nucleotide long non-coding RNA is filed under the name Mus musculus (house mouse). RNAcentral describes it as "long non-coding RNA chr12:90068098-90069324". The record is from RNAcentral. Lineage: Eukaryota; Metazoa; Chordata; Mammalia; Rodentia; Muridae.
UUAAUGCUUUUUAUUUUUUUAAAGAAAGCUAAUUUGAUGUAGAAUAAGAAUAAAAGAAGUGCCAACAUGAAAGCCCGUGCUCACUCACAGUUUAAUAGCACCCUUCAAAGCCUGGUGUAUAUUCUUUCCCCUCCUUUCAGUAUCUAGUUUGUUCUGAAUAUUUGGAGAGAGGUCCAGGAGGCAAACCUGUCUCUUGUAGCUAAGUGUCUGCUCAGAGAAGAAAUCAUUAGCAUUCACUAAACCUUAUCCAACCAAAUGCAUUUACUUGGCAGCUAAACAUCAAUGAUUAGGCCUAUGGAGAUCUUCGCUUUUAUUUCCUGUGAGGACUAGUCAAGAGCCCUUCCCUUAUUGUCCUACUGUCCUUUAGGUAACAGAGGUGUUGGGGGACUGUGGAAGCUUGGCUUCCCUUUUCUUUCCUUUGUGCCUCUUGCUUCUCCCUCACUUCUCUCUCCCCUCCUUGACCCAUUACCACAUCUUAGCUAAUGCAGAAUUCUCUUCCCUUCUACACUAUGAAUUUUCUUAUAGAAUUUCUACUGACAUAAACUGUUAAGCUAAAGCUUGCUGUGAAGUUCUGCUCCUGCAGAGAACUUUACUACGGGAAGACAACUAACCUUUUGCAUCUUAGGAGGUCCUGGGGCUUAAUUGCAUUACAGAGUCAGACAACCGUAAAUACCCAACUAUACAUCAGCAGCAUCAAAUUAUUUUCUAUAUGAAAUGAUGGAACCCAUUGUGAAUACAGCAAACCCAGUGCCCUUUGUGUGGUGAGUAUUCAGUGAACAGUUGGCAUUUUCAUUUAUCCACAUUCUCUCUAAUGUAAAGGAAAAAUAAAAGGUUGCUAUCAAGAUAGUCCUUCCUGUGCUAUAUACAUAAUUUAGGUAGUGCUGUUUAUAAGUUCUCUAGCAAUGUUAUAUGUGUUAUAGAUCAUUACAUCACCACAAUAUUCUUAACUAAAACUGGUAGUAAGGUUUCAGUAACGUUGUUGUUCAGAAAUCUACAUCUGUAUUAGUAAUAAUUAUAUUUGCUUGUUAAAAAAAUAUAAAACAUUGUAGCUGGAGAGAUGGCAGAAUAGGGAAAAGAGUUUGCUCCUGAGACCACCUGAGUUUUAUUCUAGAAUCCAUACGAUGAAAGUUGAAAACCAAUUCAGGCAGGUUGCCCAGUGACCAGCAUAUGACUACCAUGACACACAUGUACAUACCUGAGCAUGUGUACACUGCACACACAUACAC